AACGCAUCUUGCGCUCUUUGGUAUUCCGAAGAGCAUACCUGUUUGAGUGUCAUUAAAUUCCCUCAACCACAUUUCUUAUUUUGAAGUGAGGCUUGGAUGCUGGAGUGUUGCAGGCAAUUUUCAUGUUGUGUCUGCUCCUCUAAAAUACAUUAGUGGAGAUAUAAUCCUUUUCACAAAAGGCUUUUGAUUUUCUUCCAUAUGGUGUGAUAGAUGUUUUCUUACCACCGAUUUGUGAGAUUAGGCCUGAGGGGAUGUCUUGCUUUGCUCUACAACUGUCUUGUUUUAAAAGACUGAACUUGAACUCAAGUUCAUUAUUUGACAUUUGAUCUCAAAUCAGGUAGGAUUACCCGCUGAACUUAA
RNAcentral lists this unclassified non-coding RNA (360 nucleotides) under uncultured fungus. Its description in RNAcentral is "sequence contains ITS2". The stretch from base 1 to 52 matches the Rfam family "5.8S ribosomal RNA", at positions 103 to 154 of the family's 154-position model. Lineage: Eukaryota; Fungi. The record is from RNAcentral.